AUGCACGCUGGCGGCGUGCCUAAUCCCUGCAAGUCGCGCGCACAGACGAGGAGCUUGCUCCUCUGACGUUAGCGGCGGACGGGUGAGUAACACGUGGAUAACCUACCUAUAAGACUGGGAUAACUUCGGGAAACCGGAGCUAAUACCGGAUAAUAUAUUGAACCGCAUGGUUCAAUAGUGAAAGACGGUUUUGCUGUCACUUAUAGAUGGAUCCGCGCCGCAUUAGCUAGUUGGUAAGGUAACGGCUUACCAAGGCAACGAUGCGUAGCCGACCUGAGAGGGUGAUCGGCCACACUGGAACUGAGACACGGUCCAGACUCCUACGGGAGGCAGCAGUAGGGAAUCUUCCGCAAUGGGCGAAAGCUUGACGGAGCAACGCCGCGUGAGUGAUGAAGGUCUUCGGAUCGUAAAACUCUGUUAUUAGGGAAGAACAAAUGUGUAAGUAACUAUGCACGUCUUGACGGUACCUAAUCAGAAAGCCACGGCUAACUACGUG
RNAcentral lists this ribosomal RNA (496 nucleotides) under uncultured bacterium. RNAcentral's name for it is "partial 16S ribosomal RNA". It matches the Rfam family "Bacterial small subunit ribosomal RNA", at positions 29 to 507 of the family's 1533-position model. The record is from RNAcentral.